GGACGCUGCCUACCGGUGGCCGGGCGGGAUGUAACCCGCUGCUGAGCUGGCAGCUCUGUGUCGCUAGGCUUCGGCCCGGCCGCCGCCGCACAUAAGCUGCGAGGAGGAGCUUUACGACUUCCCGGUCUUCGGGGCCGGGCGCAGCAAGGGCCAGACUCUGCGCUAGCAGGCGCUGCGCGCCAACCGGCCGGCACCUGUCGCAGAAGGUGCAACCGAUCGCACUGUCGCGCCGAAGCUCCUCAAUGGCCAGCGCCAGCUGCAGCCCCGGCCGCCCACUCGCCUCACCUGAGCCUGGGAGCUUGAAAAAUCACAUUUGAGAAGAGGAUUGGAUCCUAGCCAUAACAUAAAUAUAAGGGUGGAACCAAAGUUUUAAUCAAAGAAGGUGGUGUUCAGUUGCUGCUUACAAUAGUUGAUACCCCAGGAUUUGGAGAUGCAGUGGAUAACAGUAAUUGCUGGCAGCCUGUUAUCAAUUACAUUGAUAUUAAAUUUGAGGACUACCUAAAUGCAGAAUCGCGAGUGAACAGAUGUCAGAUGCCUGGUAACAGGGUGCAGUGUUGUUUAUACUUCAUUGCUCCUUCAGGACAUGGACCAUUACAUAACUGAAGACUCCCACCUUCAGGCAGGAUUGGGUAGUACGUGUUUGUAACUACCUGGCAUUGCCUUUUGUUGAGGUUAGAUCUUGGGACAGCCCACAUACCUAGACAAACUUAGGCUUUCCAGCUUGCACUGGACCAGGGUGGAAAGGAAGGGUAGAUGUCUACCCAAAUGGAAUAUUGAGUAUCAGAGACUUCAAAUGAUAACUUUUGUUUGUUUGGAGAAAAUCUUGAGGACGUGAUCACUGUACAAAAG
RNAcentral lists this long non-coding RNA (849 nucleotides) under Homo sapiens (human). RNAcentral describes it as "non-protein coding lnc-USP53-8:11". Lineage: Eukaryota; Metazoa; Chordata; Mammalia; Primates; Hominidae. The record is from RNAcentral.